AUACGUAGGGUGCGAGCGUUAAUCGGAAUUACUGGGCGUAAAGCGUGCGCAGGCGGUUGUGCAAGACAGGUGUGAAAUCCCCGGGCUUAACCUGGGAACUGCACUUGUGACUGCACGGCUAGAGUACGGUAGAGGGGGAUGGAAUUCCGCGUGUAGCAGUGAAAUGCGUAGAUAUGCGGAGGAACACCGAUGGCGAAGGCAAUCCCCUGGACCUGUACUGACGCUCAUGCACGAAAGCGUGGGGAGC
RNAcentral lists this ribosomal RNA (247 nucleotides) under uncultured bacterium. RNAcentral's name for it is "partial 16S ribosomal RNA". It matches the Rfam family "Bacterial small subunit ribosomal RNA", at positions 523 to 769 of the family's 1533-position model. The record is from RNAcentral.